This 329-nucleotide unclassified non-coding RNA is filed under the name soil metagenome. RNAcentral's name for it is "partial contains 5.8S ribosomal RNA, internal transcribed spacer 2, and large subunit ribosomal RNA". The stretch from base 1 to 120 matches the Rfam family "5.8S ribosomal RNA", at positions 35 to 154 of the family's 154-position model. The record is from RNAcentral.
GAUGAAGAACGCAGCGAAAUGCGAUAAGUAAUGUGAAUUGCAGAAUUCAGUGAAUCAUCGAAUCUUUGAACGCACAUUGCGCCCCUUGGUAUUCCGAGGGGCAUGCCUGUUCGAGCGUCAUUAUAACCCCUCAAGCUCAGCUUGGUAUUGGGGCCUGCUGCACUGGCAGCCCUUAAAAUCAGUGGCGGCGCCAUCUGGCUCUAAGCGUAGUAAUUCUUCUCGCUAUGGAGUCCUGGUGGAUGCUUGCCAUCAACCCCCAAUUUUUCUAUGGUUGACCUCGGAUCAGGUAGGGAUACCCGCUGAACUUAAGCAUAUCAAUAAGCGGAGGA